AGUAGUUUGAUCCUGGCUCGAGGACGAACGCUGGCGGCGUGCUUAACACAUGCAAGUCGAACGGGGAUUAUAGGAAUGAGAGCUUCGGCAGGAUUCGGGAGUAUUCCAGUGGCGGACGGGUGAGUAACGCGUGAGCAAUCUGUCCCGGACAGGGGGAUAACACUUGGAAACAGGUGCUAAUACCGCAUAAGACCACGGUAGGACAUCCUAGAGAGGUAAAAGGUGCAAACCGGUUUGGGGUGAGCUCGCGUCCGAUUAGAUAGUUGGUGAGGUAACGGCCCACCAAGUCGACGAUCGGUAGCCGACCUGAGAGGGUGAUCGGCCACAUUGGAACUGAGAGACGGUCCAAACUCC
RNAcentral lists this ribosomal RNA (354 nucleotides) under uncultured Coriobacteriales bacterium. RNAcentral describes it as "bacterial SSU rRNA". It matches the Rfam family "Bacterial small subunit ribosomal RNA", at positions 1 to 339 of the family's 1533-position model. The record is from RNAcentral. Lineage: Bacteria; Bacillati; Actinomycetota; Coriobacteriia; Coriobacteriales.